AUGCCGUUGUUGGUCCACCAGGAUCAAACAGGGUUUCUGUCUGGUCGCACUAUCUCUGAGAACUUCUUAUAUGCGGCCGACGUCCUACAUGUGUGCGCUAGAAGGAAAGCCCCCACUAUGGUGAUCAAACUCGAUUUCUCAAAAGCUUUCGACUCCGUCUGUUGGCCUUCCCUGCUUGCCAUCCUUGCUGUCCAGAGCUUCCCUGAUAAAUGGAUUAAAUGGAUAGAAUCACUGCUUACCACUGGCAAAACGGCCAUCCUUCUAAACGGAACCCACGGCCCAUGGAUUCAAUGCAAAAAUGGGUUAAGACAGGGGGACCCCCUAUCCCCGUUUCUCUUCAUAAUAAUUUCCGAUGUGCUCCAAAGAAUGAUCAUAAAGGCCUGUCAGCAAAACCUGCUUGCACAUCCCAUCUCCCCAGGUCUCUCUUGCCCGGUCCUUCAGUACGCCGACGACACCCUAAUUAUUAUUAAGGCAGACACUUCCGCAGCCGCCAACCUAAAGCGUAUCCUCGAUGACUUCUCUAACGCCACCAGGCUAACCAUAAACUUCUCAAAAUCCACUUUCGUCCCCCUAAAUAUUGAGCCAGAAAUGGCCGCUGAAAUAGCAGCCACACUUGGCACCUCCGUGGCUGCUGUAACGCCCUCGAUGCGGCUAUAUCUCCCACGUGUCGAAGCACGACUUAGAGGCAUAACCGCAUUGAAAACAAUGUCGCAAGUGAGGUAA
Molecule: ribosomal RNA, 723 nt
Filed under: Triticum aestivum (bread wheat)
Lineage: Eukaryota; Viridiplantae; Streptophyta; Magnoliopsida; Poales; Poaceae
Description: partial small subunit ribosomal RNA
Source: RNAcentral